Peromyscus californicus insignis is the source of this 4792-nucleotide long non-coding RNA. RefSeq lists it as uncharacterized. Lineage: Eukaryota; Metazoa; Chordata; Mammalia; Rodentia; Cricetidae. The record is from RefSeq and is a predicted model, not a curated record. The transcript is spliced from 3 exons.
GAUCUCCUCAAGUGUUAUUCUCAGAUUGUGCAUCAUCUAUCUUGCUAUUGGAUCUCACUGCCUUUGCUGAACAGCACACAUUAAAAUUAGAACAACUCUCAAGGGAAGCCAGGUUCCAAACAUGAGGCUGUGAGUCUGGCCAGUCACUAGACAGCAUCCUGUAUCCCAGACUCGUGACUCUUUUCCUGCUGCCAACUUGCUCAAGAGCUUCUCAUUACACGGUAGACAGUGAGAGAAACUGUAAACCAGCAAAUUAAGGCCAGAAUUACAAGGGAUGACAUUUUAUUUUAUUCAGACUGAAGACUAAGUAGUUUGGAGUAAUAGUGUGACUUUAUAUUUAAGGGUAUAGAUAAGAAGACAUGGUUAUUUAUGCAGAAAGUAAAUCUCAUAAACAUUUGCUAUUUCACUCGGGAGUAAGGAAUCUUCUCAAUGCUUAUGGAUCACAAUAUUUAUCCUUGGCUAUCCUGGUAAUUGCUAUGUGAACCAUGUUCACCUAGAAGACAUAAAGACCUGCCUACCUCUACCUCUGGAGUAUUGGGAUUAAAGAUGUGUACCACCAUUCCCAGUUGCAUUGUCUUUUGUUUGUUUGUUUGUUUCUUAAGUAGGUUAGAAAAAUCACUUUGAAAUAUGGCAUUGUAAAAUGAGUAUUGAAAAAAAAAUAUCAGACAUCCAGAUACUUAACUAGAAGACUUUUCUAAAGAAGCAGCCUGUGGAUACAUUUGAGCAACUGGAGCAGGAACUGAAGUUGCCUUGGCAAUGAAGGAUAUAGCAGAAGGAUAGCUUGGUAGAGAAGAAUGCUUUGCCAGAGAAGUUCCACAAGGAGGCCUGACUAUUGUAUUUGUAUGGUACUGUUUCACUCUUGUUCCAGUGAAGUCUACACUAAGCUGUGAAGUUGUGUUUUUGAAGAGGAAUCAGAAGGCAAAGAAGCUGUGGCAGUAUCCUUAACUGCUUCUUCUUUUCCUAGAAUGAAAACCCCUUUUGUCCUUUGUUCCUGUUGCUGUCAGCAUAUCACUUAUGCAGAGAGAUAGUGAAUAAGUGGCAAAUUUGGUAACAAGUUGACACCUAGGACUGAAUGGUGAGGAUGUUAAACAAAUCUCAGAUGCUCCCAUUUCAUUAGAUAGAAGGUUUAAAAAACAGCAAAGUGAGAAAAGAGGCUUGGCACUAUAGACAUACCAUGAAACAAAAGAGUUAUGGGCAUAGUAUUUCAGUCACCUCUGUAACUAAUCCAGAAUUUUGUAAAUGACUUGAUCUCAUGGGGAAUCUGAUCUCUGCCUGCACAAGCUACACACAGAAAUAUAUUUCAUAGGUGUCCAACCAGAGGAGUACUUGAAGCUGAUUUGUUGUGUAAAAAUAUUUUUGUACACUGUGAAGAUGUGUCUUUGCUAAAGUGCCUUCUGAUUGAUUUAAUAAACAGAUGAAUGGCUAAUAAUCUAGACAGGAAGAGGUUAGGUCGAACAUCUGGGGAGAGAGACAGAAGAAGAGGAGAUGAAUCUAGGUACGAAAAAGAUGCCAGAGGACAUGGAGAGGAAACAAGAAGUGCAACAUGGAAGAGGUAAAAAGCCAUGAAGCAAAAUAAAGAUUAAUACAAAUAGGUUAAUUUAAGUUGUAAGAGCUAGUGGGACAAGUAUAAGAUAUAGACCAAGCUUUCAUAGUUAAUAAUAUGCCUCAGUGUCAUUUUUUGUGAGCUGGCAGCCUAAAGAAAAAUCCUUUACAUUGAUUUGUAAAGAUAGAUAUGUAUGUAGAUAGAAAAUCUAAAGAUCAUAGUGAAUGCAUCUUUUGUUUGUUUGACUAUUUUCUUGUCAUCAUGAUCAUCACUGCUGUUUUACUGCAAUAUUCCUUAUGGAGUAAUGUGCUUAUUCAAAGGAAUGCUGAUUGUUAUUGCAUUAGAUGCCCCCAAACUAAGCUUUUUUAUUCUUUUAAACAGCUAAGGAAAAAAACCUGAUUAAGUAGAAAGUACAUAUUUUGCUAAUGACCAGCUGUGCUGGGUAGUUUUAUGUCAACUUGACACAAGCAAGUGUCAUCUAAAAGGAAGGAAUACCAAUUGAGAAAAUGCCUCUACAAGCAAGCCUGUAGAGGCAUUUUCUUAUUUAGCAAUUAAAAGAGAAGGCCCAGACCACUGUGAGUGGGGAUAUCCAUGAUCUGGUGGUCCUAUGUUCUAUAAGAAAGCAGACUAAACAAGCCACGAGAAGCAAGCCAUUAUGCAGCACUUCUCUAUUACCUUUGUAUCAGCUCCUGCCUCAAAGUCCCUGUCCAGAAUGAGUUCCUGCAUUGGCUUCCCUCAGCAGACCAUAAUUUAAGAUAUAUAAGCCAAAUAACUUCACUCCAAGUUGCUUUUGGUCAUAGUGUUUCAUCACAGCAAUCUUAACCAUAGUUAGAUACCAGCUAAUACAAAUGUCUUAUUGUUCUGUAGCUUGUUGAGUCACUCAGUCAUUUAUAUUAUUAAGUUGACUUUGUGGCUUCUGUUUCCUUUUUAUGUUUUGUGUUGAGCAGUUAAAUACAUAGACUAUGUUAUAAUAAGAUAAUGUCUUAUCCUGCCAAAUAUGGUAGGAGUCUUACGGAUUAUGAUUAUAUCUACAGUAUCAAACAGCAAAUGUGCAGCGAGGAGCUCACUACAAUGAGACAUGCAGUGAUUAGGUGAGUUACAGUGUUACAAAUCCUAAGUUUCCAUAUCUGCUCUACCAUUUGAGAAGAGUGUCACCUUGGAGGGUCAUUAAUCUCUGAGAGUUUUAUGUUUGCACUUGAGGGUAAUGCAUAAUUCACAAGAUUGUGUUGAGAUCAAGUAAGACAAUGCAGGUGAAGAUAUAUUUUGCUAGCACAGACUCAACAUAGUUCCUUUGGGAGACAAAAUUCCUCUAAGAUUGCCCAGUGGAAUUCAACUGAGAAGGUAGGCAAACUGUUCAGUGUCUAGCAAUUUACUUCUUAAACUCAGGUCAAUUCCUGGACUUAAUUUUAACAUUUUUUAACUUACUAGUAUGCAUUCUAAUUUCAAGUUGCUUCCUAAUUUAAUUUGUACUUAUUUUCAAUAUUUAUCUUUGUAUUAUGUUGUCUGUGACUUGACAUCUCUAGGCUAAAAAUUGGACUGCUUAACCACUAUAAAUGUCACACAAUAAUUUACUGCUUUCAAGAUACUAAUUAUAAUUACUGUAAAUAUUUAUUAAUACAAACAGCUGGUGAGAAUAGACCUUGAUAACUGCCUAAUUGUUGUAGGUUUAAAGUCUUAACAUAACCCUGAAUUUUAUAGGUAUUAUCUUAAUUUGAGCUGGAAGAAUUACAAUAAAAAUUAUCAUCAAGUUGAUGGUUGUAACACUGCAAUUAUUCAUUACAUUUCUGGAAGCUGAGAGGUCCAAUAUCAAGGUGGCAGUAUAUUAAGUGGAAGGAUUUGAUCCUUCAUUGGCACCUUUUCACUUUGUUCAUGUGGCGGACAAAGCAAGACAACUCUCUCUCUGUGUCAUCUUUUACAAAUGUUCUAGACACCUAGCAAAGACCCCCAAUUUUCAAUGUCAUAAUAAGAGAUGAGAAGGUCAAUAUAUUAAAUUGGAAAGUGAACAAAGAUUCAGAACAAAACCUAUAUAUAUUGAGAUUUAUAAGGUUUAAGAAAAUUUCUGUUAUACAGCAGAGAAAUGAAAGGUGAGAAAUUCCAACCUAGUUCUAUAAGUCACAAAAAUAUUAUCUUCUACAAGGUAGACACUACUUGCCUAAAAUAUGAAGUAGUGGUACCAGAAGUCCAGAAUAUGUGUAUGUUUCUGAACAUAGAUAAGACUUAUUUUCUAGUAACAGAGGCUUCUCUGUGCUCAGAUAUCAUCUGAAACUUUACUUACGUAGUAUGAUGCCAUGGACAUCAAAGUUGGUCAUGCUAGAAGAUAAACUUGGAGAGCCAUGAAGAUCAUCAAAUAUAAUAAAUCUACAAAAGCUAUUGUUAGUUAUUUCAAUGUAUAUGGAUUGUUCUAAGAAAAAAAUGUACUAAUAUACUUAACCCUGUGUCACUCUACGAAGCCAUGCAUAGAACAAUUUUACCCUAGUUUUGUAGGGUGGAGCUGGGCCAGUCAUUGGUGAGAAUUUUAGAGCUAAUAGCCAGAGAAGUUCCUGGAAGAAACAAGGAUGAGUUUGUUAUACUGGAAAACAAUAGAAAAGAUCAUUUCCAUUUGGUAAGUAAAGAAGUGAGAGAAGAGCCAAGGAGCAAGAAAGUAACAGGUUCAAAGAUUGAGCAAGCAUUGCCCUUUUCUACCUCUAUAUCCAGUGACUGGAAACAAACUAUUUCAGUAAAUUGUGAAAAUAUCAAAUAUUUGAAUUAAUUGAUAAUGUAGUGUAAGGCAAUAGACAGCAACAGCAAUCCAGCCUUUGGAGCCAAAACUAGUAGUCCGAUUUGAAUGUGUUCAAAGUUGAAUUUCUCCAUUAGGAUAAUGGCUAACAUGAAAGAAACAUUUAAAUUCACUGUUUCCCUAACAGUUUAAAAUAUUUUUUCACUAUUAAACUGUAAGAUAGGGGCUGGAGAAUGGCACAGCAGUUAAGCACACUGGUUGCUCUUUCAUGGGACCCAUCUUCAAUUCUCAGCACCUGCACGGUGAUUGCGUGAUCUGUAACUCUAGUUACACAGGAUCUAGCUCCCUCUUCUGAUCUCUCUAGGGAUAGCAUGCAUAUGGUACUCAGACAUGCAGACAGAACAUCCCUACACAUAAAAUAAAAAUAAGUAAAUCUCUAAAAAAAUAAAAGAUAAGCUAUAAAAUAACCUUACUUAAUGCUAAUAAAAGUGAUGUUGUAAUUAUAACUGUUACUAAAAGACAUUUUUAUAGUC